This is a long non-coding RNA of Varanus komodoensis (Komodo dragon), 746 nucleotides long. RefSeq lists it as uncharacterized. NCBI's taxonomy places the organism in Eukaryota, Metazoa, Chordata, Lepidosauria, Squamata, Varanidae. The record is from RefSeq and is a predicted model, not a curated record. The transcript is spliced from 2 exons.
CCGGCGCCCCAAUGUCGGCCUACUUCGCAGGGAUGUUGUGAAAGGGAAGAUGACAGAACGCACACCAUGAUCACAAGCUUGGCCUUCUCGUUGCCCUUCUGCCUCCCCUGCAACUGCUGCAAGCCAUCCAAGCCAUAUCUGGCAGGCAACUUGACAGAGAGCUCAUGAAGCACUUUGGUGGCAAGCCUCUAAAGGCGAAGAUCUGUAUGUGUGGAAGGAGGAUUUUGGCUUUGAAUUGGAUCCCUUGACCACGUAAACCAGCCUCGUUCCCUGAGGCAGACCCCCAGAGUAUGUGAAAUGGCAUUCUGUGGAAGACCUGGCUAGGGUCUUUCAUCUGGAGACCCUCCACGGAUCCAGGUAACACAUAAAUACAGCCUACCGCCACAUAGUGAUUUGAGGGCCCUUGUUGGCAUGGUGGCAAUCCAGCAGCACGUAUGGCUCCAGGCAAUGGGGCUACUCCAAGAAACUUUGGAAUAGGAGAAAAUUCAGACGCUGUUUGGACUGACACAUUAACCAUCGAUGGCAGGACACAAACACUGCGUAAAGGCAUGCCUUGCACAAGAGGGGAAAUAAGUAUUCUGAAGACUUCUCACAAAAGUCCUUUAAUUCCACACUAUUACAAAACAUAUCCAUUUCAAUAAUGGCUCAGUAAUGCUGACCAAUCUCAGGAACUUCUUUGCCAGUGACUCUUUCUUCAACACUUUGACAAAUGCAAGGCAAUUCUGCAGGCCUAAAAGUAAGACAGA